RNAcentral lists this ribosomal RNA (116 nucleotides) under Treponema sp. Lineage: Bacteria; Pseudomonadati; Spirochaetota; Spirochaetia; Treponematales; Treponemataceae. The record is from RNAcentral.
UCUGGUGAUUAUGGCGAGGGUGUUAUACCCGUUCCCUUUCCGAACACGGAAGUCAAGCCCCUUUGCGCCGAUGAUACUACAUCUCCAAGGUGUGGGAAAGUAGGUCGUUGCCAGAC